ACUCUGAUCUGAUGGGUAACAGGAGUCACUGUUUGUACUUGGUGGUGUCCUGAGAAAGAGGAGGAAGCAAGGCCCAUGGUCUACAGAGAAUUAAAACGCAAGAAAACCAGCUAGUUGGCUCGCUUUACAUUAUCACUGCCGUUCUAAGCGACGGUGGUGACAAAACACUCCUUCAGAGCAGGCGGCCACCCUCCGCACAGCUGGGCACUUCUGACGGGGUUCUACGUAAUCAGUUGAUUGUGUUAGAACAGCUGACACGUUCUUCUUCCGUUCCUCUUUAUGGCCUUAGUUUCAUAGAAGCCCUUACUUUUCGAGUGUUGGAGGCAUGUCCUGUUUUUCCGUUCAGACGACAACAUGCCUCAAGGGUCCACAGGCUGCAGGCCAUCCACGGAGCUCGGAGUUGAAAAGCGCUGUUAGAGAUGCAAUGAGCUCUCUGGAAAAACUUGGUAGACCGCCUUAUUUUGUGCACGUAACAGAAGAAGUCAGAAGUUAGCUAUGAGUCACCACUUUCCUAUUAUUCUAGCGUUGAACCCCGCGGAGCAGAAAGAGGUCUGAAGCAUAAAAACCAAGGUUCUUUAAAAAGAGAUGAGCAUGCAGAUGUGGCAUCGUUGACCUAGAGUCAAGUUCUGGGGUGUAGCAACUGUAUGACCUUAGAAGUAACCUACUCAAUUGCUCGCAGCCUCGGUUUUGCCAUUUGUAGAAUGGGGCUAAGAACCCCCAGCCAGCUACUUCCGUGUCAUUUCUAAAAGUCCAGUGAAAUCGGGUAUAGGAAGGGGUGAUGCAUGUUUUAAAGCCUGGUGCUUUCCAGGAUUCAAGAAGGGGAGACAUGGAGCCCAGAGCAAGCAUAUCUGCGGAGGUCAAAUGUAGUUCUAGGUCUGGAACUUGAAUUUCCAUUGCAAAUACAGUGUGCUGGGCAAAGUUGGAGGACAUCAAAGUGAACAUGUGAAAUGUGGACACUAGGUAAACUGAGAGCUCAGCAGGAAAAGGAGCCAGGCCAGGCCUCUCCAGGGGUGGGGCUCACUCCAGGAAGCCAAGUGAAAAAGAAGAUUCCAGAGAACAGAGAACAAUGCCAUGGCUGAGACUGUGUGUCUCACACGCUCAGAGUUGCUGUGUCUGGUUGGGAAGGAAAAGUCAGGUCCAGAAGAAGCUCCUGGAGCAGCAUCUCCAACACCCUUGUCAAGGGGGAGGAUCCGAUCUGUAAGCAGAAGGCUCUUCUCUUUCUGUUGGCUCUGAUGCAUUUUUGGAGAGUGGAUGAUUCUCCUGUUAAGGAGUGUGGUAGAGACGUUAUGGCUUCCUCUGCAUCUCCCGAAUCAAAUGGAAAAUAAAACAAAGAUGCCCUCUUGGCCUCUUUCUGACUCACUUCACAGAGAUCGCACUCAGCAGCAUAAACCAUGAGCUUUGUCAUGAUUACUUGGAAAUAGAUGGAAAGUUGUUUCCAGAGGUCACUGAGAUCCCGAUGCUUUGAGGGUUGCCGUGGAAAUCAUCCAGACCAACUUGAAAUAGUAACAAAGCAUGAACCUGCGGCAGGGAUUCUCAGAGAUUCUCGGAAAGGAGACCAGGACGAAGGCCAAGCUUUAAUCAGCCUUUUAGAGGCAGAAGGAGAUCGUCCCUGCUCAACAAUGACUGUCACCCUUAAGGACAGCUAUCCGCCCGACUCAGACCCCACUCUCCGCCACAGAGAAUUCCAUGUGAAGUCCUUCAGAGCCAACGCAGACGUGUCUUAUCCCAGUCCCCCCGCAUGUCAGAAACGAACCGAGGCCCGCAGCUAACAAGCACAGGGGCUUGGAGGCGUCGUGAUUUGUGGGGUUUUGGUUUUUGUUUUUCUGGGUUUGUUUUUGCUUUAUAUCAUUUGCAUAUCGUUCAGUGACUUUCUGGAGAGAAAGGACCUGGGGUAGAUUGGGCAGCAUCCAUUAUAAAGAGCUACACAUUUCACAUCUGCUAAUUGUCCAUCUUGCCUCUCCUGCAAAAAGACCGUGAUAUUUAUUCACCAAGGAGCUUCGGGAGCAAGGAGGACGUUAGCGGGGAAAAUCUAUCACAGCAGACUCCUUUGCUCCAGAAAACUUAUCAUCUCUUGGGCCCAUCUGCAUUGUUGGAUGGAAGUUACAGUAGCCCAUUUCCCCCAUUAAGUGAUCAUUACACAAAUUUAA
Long non-coding RNA from Mustela erminea (ermine), 2147 nucleotides. RefSeq lists it as uncharacterized. Lineage: Eukaryota; Metazoa; Chordata; Mammalia; Carnivora; Mustelidae. The record is from RefSeq and is a predicted model, not a curated record. The transcript has 2 exons.